GGAGCACCUAGUGAAGGGAGUGGCUGGUGCAGGAAGCACAGGUGUGCGCUUUCCACCUGACUGGAAGUGAUAUCUUCAGCUAUUUCAGCCUCUGAUGAGGUGAUGCCAGUGGCAAGUGGAAGGAGGCAAGACCAUCACCUUCUACACCUUCUAUCUGCAGACAAAAGGCAAUGUUAAUUAUGAAGGGCCUGUCUAAUAAGAAAUGGCAGAAUGAUGGUUUCGAGGCAACACUUAAGUUAUCUGUGGAUGAAUCCUUUGCUGAAUCACCUUCACUGGAUAAGACAGGACAUACAAUGGUUCUAUAUAUAUGCUGUGCACAUUACUUCCAUGGAAGCCUGAAGAGACUGUGCCCUUGUCAGAACAUGAUAAGGUAUGGACUCAUUACAUACCUGAGUGAGAAGAGGAAGGGAAAAAUAAAAGAUAAAGGAAAAUGACUGUAAAACUGGCAGUAUGACUCUUCAUCUGUUUUGAAGCUGCAGAGUGCCUCCUGAUAUGCAAGAAAGAUGUUGGGUCCAGGAUUUGACUUGUAAGUCCAACCAAUACAAACAUAAAAAUUUCUGUGUAAUUC
Phasianus colchicus (ring-necked pheasant) is the source of this 568-nucleotide non-coding RNA. The record is from RefSeq and is a predicted model, not a curated record. NCBI's taxonomy places the organism in Eukaryota, Metazoa, Chordata, Aves, Galliformes, Phasianidae.